UUAGUUUUAAAUAAAAAAAGGGACGAAUGGAUAACUAGGAUGGGCCAAAUAGGACGGAAAGACCGAGAAAGCGAGGGAGAGACUUAAAAAUCGCAUGUCCUAGCGGAAACGCGGCAAAAAGAACUGGAAAGUGAAACAUCUCAGUACCAAAGCUGGCUUAUAAGAAACUACUUAAGGCCCCAUAGCGCAGAGAAAUCAAACGAGACUCCGUAAGUAGCGGCGAGCGAAAGUGGAUUAGUCCAAUGACUUAUUUAAAGCGAGUAAAUAAUGGAAGAUAGGUGUUCACACAUCUAAGACUAAAUGUUGGUCUCAUACCGAAAAAGGGAGUACUGUAAAGGAAAGUUGAAAGAGAUUUUAAAAGAUCUUAAAAUGAGUCCCCUAAAGCAGUUGUAAUACAACGUACCUUUUGUAUAAUGGGUUCACAAGAUAAAAUUUGGCAAACUUAAGUUAAACUCGAUUUUAAUCCACUUUGUGGGCUAUAAACUAAAGUUCUAAAUAACGAAGGUGCAGCGAAAGCAAGGGAGGAGUCCCUUUUAGUUAAAUUACCCGAAACCAAGUGAUCUAACCAUAGACAGCUUAAAGGAGCGAACCGGUGGUUGUAGCAAAAACCUCGGAUGAUCUGUGGUUAGGGGUGAAAGACCAAUCGAACUUGGAGAUAGCUGGUUUUCUGCGAAAACUAUUAAAGUAGUGCGCCUACAAAAUUAGAGCCCUUAUUGGAAACACACCAAGAUAUGGGGAUUUAUUUUUUCAUGGUAAAGUAUAAUCGCUUAAAAUUAAGGGAUUAACUAUGAAUGUAAAAAAAUUGAAGCAGGUAGACAGACAGUAGGCGAUAAGGUUGAUUGUCAAAAGGGUAAGCCCUAAUCAGAAGUUAAAGUCAUAGAUUAAUUUAGAGUCCAAAAGGAUUAAAACAGUUAAGUGAAAAAGAGAUAUUGGGUUUAGACAAUAAGGAAGUAGGCUUGGAGCCAGCCACCUUUAAAAGAUGACGUAAUAGUUCACUUAAGGAAUUCUCCUAUCUCUAAAAUUAGGGUGGCUAAAUUGAAACUGAAACUCUGAAAGCGGGAUACGCUUGGUAGCAGAACGUACUGUAAAAUAGCCCAGUGAUGGCUCUAAGCAUCAGAAAUGAUAAUGUGAACAUGAGUAAAAAAUCGUCGGAUCGCUACCCUAGGUUUCCAAGCUUGAGGGCUUGGGUUAUACAGCCCCUAAGACAGCAGCCUAAAGGCCGCGUCGAUGGGACGUAGUAGUAGACGCACUUGGUGCCAGGAAAAAAUUACUAGACAUUUAACCCUCCCGUCUCCACCUCCAUAAGAGGAGAAUAAGAUAGGAGUCAUAAAAGUCACACUGUACUAAUCUAACACAAGUGGGGGAUAGUGAGGGGAAAUGUUUUCUUAAGGAACUCGGCAAAAUUUUUAACACCCCAUUAGGGGGUUGUUUUAUAAUAUAGGGCCUCGACUGUUUACCAAAAACAUAGCUCUCUGCCAAUAUGAAAAUAGAAGUAUGGAGGGUGAGGCCUGCCCAAUGGUUAUAUCUAAAAGGGUCGGUAAGGGCUGACUUCAUAAAGACAGCUCAAUGGCCGCGGUAACACUGACCGUGAUAAUGUAGCGUAAUCAAUAGCCAAUUAAUUGUUGGCCGGUAUGAAUGGCGUCACGAAGGCCCCACUGUCUUAAGGAAACUCCCAGUGAAAUUGAAUUCGUAGUGAAGAUGCUACGUCUAAAUUGUUAGACGAAGAGACCCCAUUGAGCUUUACUGGAAACUUAUACGGCUAUAAUUAAAACUUAAAUAAAUAGCUAAAUCAUGUGGUGUAAGACAUUUUGUUAGGGUCUUGAUCUUAAUCUAAGAUUUUACCGUUAUGGUGCCCACUUUUUUAUUUUAGGAAAGCUAACUCUCUUUUAUGAUUGUUUUAAUGAUGAGAGAAACAACGUAAGUUAGACAGUUUGGUUGGGGCGACCGCCUUUUAAAAAGUAACGAAGGUGAGCUUAAGGUGCAUAAUUAAUAGCAGCAACCUGACUGCAAGGGGGACACCCCAAGCAGACACCAGAAGCCGCUAAAAACUAUUGUCUGAUCCAGGUUUAGAUAUAAGUUCUUAGAGCAAAAAGGUGGGCUAUAAUGACCCGUUAAUUUAGAGUGAGAUAGUUAACGAUCAACGGAUAAAAGCUACCAUGGGGAUAACAGCGUAAUAUCGUUCAAGAGCUUUCAUCAACGACGAUGUUUGCGACCUCGAUGUUGAAUUGCAGCAUCCUAGGGUGCAGUCGCUCCUAAGGGUUGGUCUGUUCGUCCAUUAAGGCUGUACAUGAUUUGAGUUAAAAGCGUGGUGACACAGCUUGGUUUCUAUCUACAAUUUGAAGAAACAUCGAUAUAAUUAUUUUCUAGUACGAAAGGACCGAAAAAUUAAUGAUCCUCUUAUUUUCUAUAAGUUACGAUCAAUUUUGAUCCGGGCCUCAGAAAAAAUUGGGGCUUUUCAGCUAAUCCCUGACUGCCUCUAAAGUGUGAAGGACAUAUUGAAUUGUUUGGGCUUUAUUUUAGAUUGAAAACCAUGAACUACAUUUGUAGUUCUGGAAGACAUAUUUUGCUAAAUCCACUAUGUGGUUCUUCUCGUCUCCUCUUUUUGAGAUGGGAUGGGUUAAUAGGUUAAACCAACUUAGCCUUAAUGUUAACAAGGCGCUCA
RNAcentral lists this ribosomal RNA (2662 nucleotides) under Phanopathes sp. NB-2020. RNAcentral describes it as "16S ribosomal RNA". It matches the Rfam family "Bacterial large subunit ribosomal RNA". The record is from RNAcentral. Lineage: Eukaryota; Metazoa; Cnidaria; Anthozoa; Antipatharia; Aphanipathidae.